UCCAUAUUAAUGCUCAUGAUUUUGGAUUGAGAUGUUCGAUGAGCAGGUGUCCACAUACUUUAGGUCAUGUAGAGUAUCUUACCAUUAGCUAGCUGCCACAAAGGCUAAUGUGACUGGCCUUUAUGUUCUAGUUACAGAGUCCGAUCUGCAGCAGCAUCUACAUCAAGCUCAGCACCAGGAACUAGUACAAAUCCUGAAGCUGCGGAUGAUGACCUAAAUACCAACUUUAGUAGUACAGAUCCCGUAGACCCAUUGGAUGAAAUCUUUCGGCCCAGUAACAAGCUCAAGCUCAUCUGACUUGGAAGAGGAAAACACUACACGGGACCGGCAAGAGCCAAAGUGUAAAGUCUAUGAGUCCAAGGUCAUGGAGCUCAUGAAGUUCUGACAGCCAAUCAUCUCUACAGACAUUGGAUAWGUUGGGGCCACAAUGAAAGUGAAGUGCGACUGUAAUGAUGGACACACAGGAACAUGGACCUCCAGUCCUGACAUUCAGGAAAUGGCAGAGGUUCAGCUUCUCAUGGCUGUGUCUGUGCUGUUUUCAGGAGGCACUUACACCGAGCUGCAGGACGACUCAGACCAUGAACCUGAAGUUGUUUGCCAACACCACCGUCUAUCAGAUUCAGAACACCUACCUGUUUACAUUCAUAAAUGCACAAUAUGGGUAACGAAGGAAUGCUAUUUUGCAAAAACUGUUCCUGGAUCAGGAGGAAAAUGGUGUUGAAGCACAGCUGUCUGGGUGUGCACGCAGCAACAGUCCAGGCUACAGUUACAGUCUUGUCUCAUCGCUGCAACUCUGUACGGACUCA
Molecule: non-coding RNA, 806 nt
Organism: Salvelinus sp. IW2-2015
Lineage: Eukaryota; Metazoa; Chordata; Actinopteri; Salmoniformes; Salmonidae
Source: RefSeq, a predicted model, not a curated record